Molecule: ribosomal RNA, 250 nt
Filed under: uncultured bacterium
Lineage: Bacteria
Description: partial 16S ribosomal RNA
Rfam family: Bacterial small subunit ribosomal RNA
Source: RNAcentral
UACGAAGGGUGCAAGCGUUGUUCGGAUUUAUUGGGCGUAAAGCGCGCGCAGGCGGGCCAGCAAGUCAGAUGUGAAAUCUCGGGGCUCAACCCCGAAACUGCGUCUGAAACUACUGGCCUAGAAUCUUGGAGGGGGAAGGGGAAUUUCACAUGUAGGGGUAAAAUCCGUAGAGAUGUGAAGGAACACCAGAGGCGAAGGCGCCUUCCUGGACAAGUAUUGACGCUGAGGCGCGAAAGCGUGGGGAUCAAAC